GAGAAUUUGCUGCUGCGGGGGGACUCUUUCUGAGGUUACUGUGGAGCACCCAAAGUCUGUCAGCCUCUGGCCGUGCAAACAGGCACCCAGAGGAACCAGACCUUGCUUAUUCACCCACAGCCUGGGACUGUCUUCUCCAGAGUCUCCAUCAGCUUUGCUAAUCGACUGAUUGGAAAUAAUUCCUCAAACACCACCAAGUCAAGGAUACAGGCAGCAGCGGCUCCCCUGUUGUAUGGACAUUCUGCACCCGAAACUGAUAGCUGAGUCCUGAAGUUUUAUGUUAUGAAACAGAAGAACUUUCAUCCCAGCACAUGAUUUGGGAAUUACACUUUGUGACAUGGAUGAAUCUGCACUGACCCUUGGUACAAUAGAUGUUUCUUAUCUGCCACAUUCAUCAGAAUACAGUGUUGGUCGAUGUAAGCACACAAGUGAGGAAUGGGGUGAGUGUGGCUUUAGACCCACCAUCUUCAGAUCUGCAACUUUAAAAUGGAAAGAAAGCCUAAUGAGUCGGAAA
Molecule: long non-coding RNA, 514 nt
Filed under: Homo sapiens (human)
Lineage: Eukaryota; Metazoa; Chordata; Mammalia; Primates; Hominidae
Description: non-protein coding lnc-GPAM-1:1
Source: RNAcentral